UACGAAGGGGGCUAGCGUUACUCGGAUUGACUGGGCGUAAAGGGCGCGUAGGCGGCUUGUACAGUCAGACGUGAAAUUCCUGGGCUCAACCUGGGGGCUGCGUUUGAUACGUGCGGGCUUGAGUUCGGAAGAGGGUCGUGGAAUUCCAGGUGUAGCGGUGAAAUGCGUAGAUAUCUGGAGGAAUACCGGUGGCGAAGGCGGCAUCCUGGACCAUUACUGACGCUUAAGCGCGAAAGCUAGGGGAGCAAACGGG
This 253-nucleotide ribosomal RNA is filed under the name uncultured bacterium. RNAcentral describes it as "partial 16S ribosomal RNA". It matches the Rfam family "Bacterial small subunit ribosomal RNA", at positions 524 to 776 of the family's 1533-position model. The record is from RNAcentral.